CAAUGGGGUGACGUAGAAAGGUAGACCAUCGUGGUUUGGUUGACUACGUGUAAGCGUGUAGGGUGCUAAUCAGGAAAAUCCGGUUAGCAUUAAGCCUGAGGCGUGAUACCGAUCCAAUUAUGGCGAAGUGGUUGACCCUAUGCUACCAAGAAAAACCUCUAGGUAGUAAUUUGGUUCUCGUACCAAAACCGACACAGGUAGGUAGGUAGAGAAUACUAAGGCGAUCGAGAUAACCCUUGUUAAGGAACUCGGCAAAAUAACCCCGUAACUUUGGGAUAAGGGGUACCCCAGUAGCGUGAAGAAACUAGCUUUUGGAGCGCGAAAAGGUUGCAAUAGAAAGGCUCAAGCGACUGUUUACUAAAAACACAGGUCUCUGCUAAGUCGUAAGACGAUGUAUAGGGGCUGACGCCUGCCCGGUGCUGGAAGGUUACGAGGAGGAGUUAGGACUUCGGUCCGAGGCUCUGAAUCUAAGCCCCAGUAAACGGCGGCCGUAACUAUAACGGUCCUAAGGUAGCGAAAUUCCUUGUCGGGUAAGUUCCGACCUGCACGAAUGGCGUAACGAUUUGAGCACUGUCUCAACAAGGGACUCGGUGAAAUUAUAUUAUUGGUAAAGAUGCCAAUUACCCACAGAAGGACGGAAAGACCCCGUGAACCUUUACUGUAGCCUGAUACUGGAUUUUGGUCUAUCAUAUGCAGGAUAGGUAGGAG
This 708-nucleotide ribosomal RNA is filed under the name marine sediment metagenome. Its description in RNAcentral is "LSU rRNA". It matches the Rfam family "Bacterial large subunit ribosomal RNA", at positions 1462 to 2153 of the family's 2925-position model. The record is from RNAcentral.